RNA transcript from Dunckerocampus dactyliophorus (ringed pipefish), 7254 nucleotides. It is a transcript of the gene named apoptosis-stimulating of p53 protein 2-like, with no coding region annotated. The record is from RefSeq and is a predicted model, not a curated record. The transcript is spliced from 17 exons. Lineage: Eukaryota; Metazoa; Chordata; Actinopteri; Syngnathiformes; Syngnathidae.
AUUCAAUGAUCGUGAUCCUCACACCCACGCUCAAAGUGGUCGUGGACGCCUGUGCGACCACAUCUUGUUGCCUCGUGCCAUCUGCAGAAAACACACUGUGCGCGCUGUGCACGUGCACGUGCGCGUGGACACCAUGAUGCCGAUGUUCCUGACCAUCUUCCUCGGCAGUGGCGAGCACGACGCCUGUGAGGUUCCCAUCACGCCGCACACGCUGUGUCGGGACGUCCUGGACGUCUGCAGGGAGCCCGGAGAAGUCCGUUGCUACCUGACCGAGACGUGGAGAGGAUCCGAGCGCACCGUCGGGGAGGAGGAGAAGAUGAUGGAGGUGCUGCAGCGUUGGGGGCAGCGCAGAGUGGAGGUGUCUUACCUACUGAGACCCCCAGCAGAACCUGGACCACAACUAGGUGUGUGCAGGCCAGCUGAUCACAUGACGAGCACAGGUCACAUGACUGUGGACCAUGAGGUGCAGCGACUGCGGCGCUUGAGGCAUGACGGGCAUCAGGAGGCGUCGGAGCAGGAGCAGGUGCAGCGGCUGCGGGAGAACAUCCUCAAGCAGGAGGCCAAACUGCAGCGUGUGCGGGCCCUCAGGGGCCAAGUGGAGACCAAACGCCUCAGCAACAGCAAGCUGGUGGAGGAGGUGGAGCAGAUGAGCGGUGUUCUCCAGCAGAAGCAGAAAGAGGUACUGCUGGCCGUCACCCGAGUGGAGGAGCUGAGCCUCCAACUAGAGGCGCUGAGGAGCAGCUCACUGCUGCCUCCUCUUUCUUGCCUCCAUGCCACCUCCUCUUCCUCCUCUGUGGAGCUGCAGCGUCUCUGCAGAGAGCUGCAGCUGAGGAACCAGCUGAACCAGGACCAGAGCACCCGCCUACAGCAGCAGAGGGAGGGGCUGAACAAGAAGAACCUGGAAGUGGCGUCCAUGGAGCGACGCCUGGCCGAGCUCCGCCAUCGUCUCUGGAAGAAGAAGGCGGCACUGCAGCACCAGGAGAACACGGCAAACGUGUGGGCCGCUGCGGAGCCGUUGGGAGGUUCUGCUAAUGUCCAGAACAGCUGGAACAAUAACAACUUGUGUUGGUUUCCCCAGCAGGUGACAUCAGACAGUGCUGUGGCCUCCAAGGUGGCGGCGGUGGGCCCGUACAUCCAGUCGUCCUGUCAGGGGCCUGUGCUUGCCCCCCACCAAGAGGUUGUAGUGAAGCCUGCCUACCUGGACGGCACAACCACUCUGCCAAUGCCUGACCGGUCCAUGAAGCCUGCUCCCUGGUCGCUCAAAGCAGCCUCAGCUGUCAAGGCCAGGGAAGAGUCCAGCCCCGCCCAUGCCUCCACACUGCCCCGCAUGGCCAGCCUGUGCCGCUACACCUCAGAUGCCUCUGCCCCUGUCCCCUUAAGGACCAAGGAAAUGACUGAAGACCUGCUGAGGAAUCGCCAGGCGUCGUCUAUAGGUCAGACCGCGAAGCUAGCUCCGCCUCCAGUGACUGCCUUCUCCACCGGAACAUUCCCUGGAAAGAUGCGGCCAGCAGGGUGUGCUCUUCACAGUCACACCCUCCCACUGGCCAGAAAGCAGGAAAGCCCCCUUGCUGCCACCGUACGACCUUACACCCCCGAGCCCUCGGAGCCCCUCCUCCCUGUGUUGCAGAAGCCUCAGACGGUGGCGACAGCGUCCAUCUAUUCCGUGUACACGCAGCACAGCCUUUUGGGAAAGAGCUACCAGGCCAGCACGCUGCCUCGCUGCCAACCAGUGUAUGGGAAACCAGUCCUCCCGGCCAGUGGGGGGCAGCAGUCUGCCCUCUCAUGUGCUUCCAAGAGGAGCGAGAGUGAAGGUUCUGGGGCAGAGGCUGCAGAGAGAGCGCCCUCUCGACCGCUCAGUCCCACAAAGCUCCUCCCCUUCCUAUCUAUCCCUCACAGGAGCACAGGCGAUACUGACACGGAAGCCCUACGGCGACGCCACCAUGCCCCCCGGCCCCUGAAAAAGCGCAGCUCCAUCACAGAGCCCGAGGGUCCGGCAGGGCCAAACAUCCAAAAGCUUCUCUACCAGAAGACCACUCUGGCCGCCAUGGAGACCAUCUUCAUGGAGACCCCAGCCCCUGGUUCAGAGGAUGAUAUGAGUCCGCCCCCACUACCCCCACGUUCACCCAUCUCAAUCUCCACCUCCUGCUGCCCACCAUCCGCCCCUCUGGGGGAGGUCAAGGAGGAAGUGGUGUAUCCGGUCUCCUCCCAACCUCAGGAUCUGCCCUCCUCGCCCCCGCCUUACCCCCUACAAGGAGACGAAACCUUCAGUUUGCGUCCCCCCGAGGUCACUGGGCAGGUCACGGCGUUGGUGGGAAAGAAGUCUAUCCUCCGCAAAGCCGACUCAGAUCCCAUCGACCGGUCGGUCCGGGUCAAGUUCAACCCCCUGGCCAUCCUGCUGGACUCGUCCCUAGAGGGGGAGUACGACCUCGUCCGCAGGAUCAUCUACGAUGUAGAUGAUCCCAGUGCAGCCAACGAUGAGGGCAUCACGGCGCUACACAAUGCCGUGUGCGCAGGACACAUGGAGAUUGUCAAGUUUCUGGUUCAGUUUGGCGUCAACGUCAACGCUGCAGACAGUGAUGGCUGGACGCCGCUGCACUGUGCUGCCUCCUGCAACAAUGUGCAGGCGUGUAAGUUCCUGGUGGAGUCGGGGGCCGCCGUCUUCGCCGCCACACACAGCGACAUGCAGACGGCCGCUGACAAGUGUGAAGAGACGGAGGACGGCUACGCCCAGUGCUCCCAGUUCCUCUACGGCGUGCAGGAGAAGAUGGGGGUGAUGAACAGAGGGGUGGUGUAUGCCCUGUGGAACUAUGAGCCGCAGAGCAGCGACGAGCUGGGCUUCCAGGAGGGCGACUGCAUGACAGUGCUGAAGCGGGAAGAAGAGGUGGAGAGAGAAUGGUGGUGGGCGAGAUGCGGCGACUACGAGGGUUACAUCCCCCGAAAUCUGCUUGGGCUCUAUCUGAGGAUCCGCCCCCGACAGAGAAGUCUGGCCUGAGUUGCGCUGAUUCGACCUCCGAGGACCACAUGACCACAAUGUAAACAUCUGUUUACUUGUAGUCUAGAUGGACAGCCGUUAAAGAGCAAAUAACAAAAUUAAAAGAUUUAUGUUCCGCCUCCUGCCUCCACACGUCUACAUUCACGGCCAGCAUGCUAGGCUUGUAGGCUAAAUUAGAGCGUUGAAGUCAUGUCAGUUUAUUCAUGAAAUGUAAACGUUGAGCACUCACAUGCACAACAAAUGUCAAAGUUUAGUUAAAUAAUGUUUAUCUGCAAUACAUUCAGUGUUCAUCUUUUCGCUGCAAACAUCCUAAAGUGCUCAAACAAGUGAUGACAAAGUCAUGACACACAAACAACUUCUUGGAGCGUGCUGGGAAAUAAUCUGGAUCAGCGUAUGGGACAACAUCAGAUUAGCAAAGAGGAUGAGGAGAUCUGGGGGCAGGGGGUCUGCAGACCAGACCAGAACCACUGAUUCACCACACUUCAUGUCUUCAGAGCUGCUGCAGGUUCUGGUUCUGCAGGUGGUUCUGGUCAGCAGGCAGCAGACGGGUGACGUGGCCGAUGCCUUUGGUCACGCCCUCUCUGAAGAGCAGCUUGGCACCGGUCCGAAGGUACUCCGGAUGUUUGAUGAAGCGGAACCGAACGACGGCUCGCUCACCGGUUCGCAGCUCGUCCUGCAACGAAAGAAUAAACAUGCCCCCUUGUAAACAUCUUGUAAACAUGCCCCUGCAAAACAUGCGCACCUUCCCAUGGAGGCACUCGACCACGGCGGUCUGUCGCACAUUGCCCACAUGGACAGUGACCUGUGACCCUCGACGGAAGGUUUUGGCGUGGAAGAGAAGCACAAUGGCGGCCUCAAACUCACAACAGAUGGUAGGCUUCAUCUUGGGACUCACCAUCACCAUCCCCUGCAACAACAUGGCCGAUGACAUCACUGAUGACAUUGCUAAAGAGGCUGCUCUCCACGACCUCUGACCUUGCGCAGCAGCGAUCGGUCGAAGCUGCCGAGCGCCAGCGUGGCUGCUUGCCCCGCCCUCAGCAGUCUGCACGCUGAGCGGUUCCUCUGGAUGCUCACCACCUUUAGACGCAGGAAGUGACCUUCGUCUGUGGGCCCGACCACCAGACGCUCGCCUUCACGACACACCCCGCUGACACACACACACACACACACAAACACACACUUAUUAUGGCAGGGUUCACCAACGUUUUUCCUUGUGAGAGCUACUUUUACAAAAUGAAAAAGGCCAAGAGCUACUCAUUUUUGUAUCAUUUAUUUUCAGAGCUUAUUUUAAACCCAAACAAAGCAAAUAUGCUUGUUUUACCAGAACAUUAACAAAAUGCUGGUGUCCACAACUCACAUUUUGUAUUUCAGAAUGCAUUUCUUUCUACUGUUCUUUCAUUAUUAACUGAAAACCUGAAUGAAAAGCAGGCUUGCGGGCACCUCAUGUGGUUGUGGGGGGCUACCUGGUGCCUGCUGGCACCACGUUGGUGACCCCUGUAUUAUGGAAUGUCACGGCUGAGGCGCUCAGUGCUCUCUCACCUGUAUAAAGUCCCGCCCACCACCGUCCCCACGUCAGGCACAGAGUAGAUUUCGUCCACCUGCAAGUCAACGUGAGUCAGUACACUAGUGUGUCCAUUAGAGGGCACUGUGACUGCACUUGAAUUGGAGUCCCUCCAUAUAGAGUUGCGACAUGACGAGUCGAAAAAAUACGGUCACGUGACUCGUGGAGCCAUCUUGGGGCCAAUUCGCUUUUUCUUUACAGUAUUCUUGGCCGUAUUCUUGUUUAUUCCCCAAAAAUGCCGGGUUGUUGUGCAUUUGGAUGCAGAAAUAGACAUGACAAGGGUUUCAAGCUUUACAGAUUCCCUUCAGAUGUCAACAGACGGACAAUUUGGGAAAAUAAAAUCAACCGUUUGGGCUGGAAGCCGAACUCGUCUUCAAAGCUGUGCGAGUGUGUGUGUGUGUGUGUGUGUGUGUGUGCAUACUUGGAACUCCGUGAGCUGCUGCAUGAGCUCCUCUUGUUCUUUGCUGUUGCUCAGAGGAGGUAGAACAUUCAAGAAGACUUUGAGGAGCUCCAGACUUUCUCCUGACACACUGGACAGUGUCAAGAUGGGUGUGAUGCUGUGCACACACACACACACACACACAGACUAGUUAGUGCACACACAACAACACCACCACACACACACACACACACACACACACACACACAGGCACCCACCACGCCGACUGAGCAAACUGCUGAGCGGCGGUGACGGCGUCAUCCGGGUUGGACACGAGCAGAGGAACUUUGUUGCAGCCCGGCUGCUUGAGGAGUCGUUCCAGCUGACGCAGUGUUCUGUCCACGGUGCCGCGCGAGCACACGUCCACUUUACUGACCACCACGAAGAUGGGAACUUUCAGUGCCAUGGCCAGGCCCAGAUGUUCCCGAGUGGUACCAGCUGGAUGGGGGACGAGACACUCACUGUCACACCAUGAACCUUAAAGAUGCUUGUGACCUCUGUUGAUGACUCCGAGUGUUGCAAGACUUUUGCCAAGCAACAAUAUGAUCUAAACCAGGGGCGGCCAUUACGUCGAUCGCGAGCUACCGGUAGAUCGCCACAGUAGUUUGGGUCGAUCGCGUAAACGUUACUUUGUAGUUGUCAUAUGACAUCAGUCAGCUGACAUUAAGCUCCCCUCCUGAUUCGCGCUUGCUCCCCCGCAGCGUUUCAAGCUACACACGAAGAUGCAACUUUCAUCUUUAUUAUUCUGAUUAUGGAUGAACUAACUCAGCGGUAAGAUGUCUAUAUCUAUAACAAAAGUUAUCUGUUCACUUGUAGUGGCUAGUUACGUAGAAAAAAGUGUAUUGUUUACUGGCUUUGCUUGGCAUCAUGAACUCUACUACAGAAAUCAGUGUUUUCUACACGUUGGCUUCUUAAACUAUUAUUUCAUGAUGAAAUUAAAAAUGUGCCCAUUGGUGAAACCUUUUCAAUAUGUUGCCUUGACUUGGGCUGCAUUGUCUUUUACAUCAUCAUUUUAAAUUCUUGUAUAUGGGAAAUGUUUGAUAGCAAAUGCUAACUGGAUGUAAUACAUGAACUGUGUGCCCUAAUGAACGUUACAUAGCUAAUGUGACUGACAUAUUACCAGUACUCAGCUUAUGUACACAACUAUUUAGGAGUUAUGUGGAAUUAUCUUUAUUUCCAUAUUGAAGUGAAUUAUGAUAGCAACUACUUUGAUUACCUGUAAAAUGUGAAUGCGAAUACUAAUCAUGAAUAUUUACAAUAGAAUUUCAGAGUUUACUGGUUACAUUUUGUAUAUGUUAUGUUUUAUAGAAAGAGGUAGAUCAUUUUGACUUGUACUUGCAUGCUGAGAAAGUGCGUGCACUCCUGAUAUACAUGUAUAACCUACAUAAAUACCUACUCAUAUUUUUUUUUAAAUAAAUAUAGUAAAUAUAUAUACUUUCUAUAUAUAUAGUAGUAGGUGGGACUUGGUCUUUUUAAAAGUAGCUUGCAGGCUAAAAAAAGUGUGAGCACUCCUGAUCUAAACACUACACACAUCAUACAACAUGAUAUACUGUAUCAUACAUACACAUUAUACAUAAAAUAUUAUGCAUACAUUAUACACAAUACAUGCUAUAUUAUACAUACAUAUUGUACACGAUCAUAUCCAACCGAAACAAUAAUCUAUUCUUGCCUCCACUCUCCAAUAAAUCACCAGGUGCCUCCCCACAUAAAGGAGGCCUAGCACUCCCUGCAGUUGAGCAAAUAAACUCAACAAGCACUAAGAAUGGAAACGAGAAGGAGCUCACCGACACCAGUGUUGCCACUGACCACCAGCAUGGCGAAGUCGGGGCAGUAGCUGGUGAGACCAAAGAUGGUGGUCUUUAGAUACUUGUAGUGUCCAGCCAGGUCCAUGAAGGUGAUCAUCUUGGAGGAGCUCUCACAGAUCUCCUCAGCGCUGCGAGAGUCGCUGUAGUUGACCACCUACAGCAUACAUUUCAUGAUUGGAUGAACAGAUCCUUCUGGAACUUUCUACUAAAUCACGUUGCUCACUUCUCCUCUGCUGUUGAAGCCCAGGAUCUCAAAGCUGAUGCUGGACGUGCGUCCCGUUUGGAUCUCAUGAAGGUGUCUGAAGAGGUUGAGCCGCGCUCGUCCUCGCCCAUUGUCCAGCUCGCCCUGCGUCAGGACGCCGAGCAGGGUGGACUUCCCGGAAUCCACGUUCCCCAACACGGCCACACGCAGGUCCAAGAACUGUCAUGAUCCACAUGGACACUCUUUAAUUUGGAG